Manis pentadactyla (Chinese pangolin) is the source of this 188-nucleotide small nuclear RNA. RefSeq annotates it as U2 spliceosomal RNA. The transcript has a single exon. Lineage: Eukaryota; Metazoa; Chordata; Mammalia; Pholidota; Manidae. The record is from RefSeq and is a predicted model, not a curated record.
ACUGUUUCCCAGCCUUUUGGCUGAGAUCAAGUGUAGUAUCUGUUCUUAUCAGUUUAAUAUCUGGUAUGUCCUCAUUCCAAAGACACUAUAUUAAAUGGAUUUUUGGAGCAGGGAGAUGGAAUAAGAGCUUGCUCCAACCUCCACUCACCGACUUGUAUUGCAGUAUCUUCUGUAACCGUGCAUCCCCU